This 118-nucleotide ribosomal RNA is filed under the name Psychrobacter nivimaris. The record is from RNAcentral. Lineage: Bacteria; Pseudomonadati; Pseudomonadota; Gammaproteobacteria; Moraxellales; Moraxellaceae.
UUUGCUGACGACAAUAGCGCGAUGGCCCCACCUGAUCCCUUCCCGAACUCAGAAGUGAAACAUCGUAGCGCCAAUGGUAGUGUGGUUCGCCCAUGUGAGAGUAGGUCAUCGUCAGCUC